Molecule: ribosomal RNA, 226 nt
Filed under: uncultured bacterium
Lineage: Bacteria
Description: partial 16S ribosomal RNA
Rfam family: Bacterial small subunit ribosomal RNA
Source: RNAcentral
UACGAAGGGGGCUAGCGUUGCUCGGAAUGACUGGGCGUAAAGGGCGCGUAGGCGGAUUGUACAGUCAGGCGUGAAAUUCCCGGGCUCAACCUGGGGGCUGCGCUUGAGACGGUGCGAUCUUUGAGUGGGGAAGAGGGCGUGGAAUUCCCAGUGUAGAGGUGAAAUUCGUAGAUAUUAGGGAAGAACACCGGUGGGCGAAGGCGGCGACCUGGUCCUUGACUGACGC